GCGCACGCUGGCGGCGUGCUUAACCCAUGCAAGUCGAACGGGCCUUGUCCCCUUUUUUUUUGGGGGUGGGGUUAGUGGCGAACGGGUGAGUAACACGUGAGUAACCUGCCCCUCACUUCUGGAUAACCGCUUGAAAGGGUGGCUAAUACGGGGUGUUCUGGCCUGCUCGCAUGGGUGGGUUUGGAAAGAUUCGACCGGUUUUGGUUGUUUUGGUGGGGGAUGGGCUCGCGGCCUAUCAGCUUGUUGGUGGGGUGAUGGCCUGCCAAGGCUUUGACGGGUAGCCGGCCUGAGAGGGUGGGCGGUCACACUGGGACUGAGACACGGCCCAGACUCCUACGGGAGGCAGCAGUGGGGAAUAUUGCACAAGGGGCGCAAGCCUGAUGCAGCGACGCCGCGUGAGGGAUGGAGGCCUUCGGGUUGUGAACCUCUUUCGCCAGUGAAGAAGGUCCUGCUCUUUGUGGUGGGGUUGACGGUAGCUGGGUUAAUGAAGCGCCGGCUAACUACGUG
Molecule: ribosomal RNA, 507 nt
Filed under: uncultured bacterium
Lineage: Bacteria
Description: partial 16S ribosomal RNA
Rfam family: Bacterial small subunit ribosomal RNA
Source: RNAcentral